Oncorhynchus tshawytscha (Chinook salmon) is the source of this 3609-nucleotide RNA transcript. It is a transcript of the gene named KH domain containing, RNA binding, signal transduction associated 1b, with no coding region annotated. The transcript has 11 exons. NCBI's taxonomy places the organism in Eukaryota, Metazoa, Chordata, Actinopteri, Salmoniformes, Salmonidae. The record is from RefSeq and is a predicted model, not a curated record.
GCAUGCUUCCGUCCUCAUUUUCAUAAAGUCAAGGCGCCGCGACAGGAGCACCUAUCCGCAGUUGUCAGUAGCCGUGCGCUAUAGCAGCGAGAGCUCUACAUGCGAAGAAGUGGAAAUUAAACUGGACUAUUCUUCUGUUUAUUUAUUUUUUUCUACCCACUCAAAGCUUGAUUUUUAAUUGCACAUUUUGCAUUACGAACUGAUUUAAACUCAAAAAUGGAGAAUCAAGAAAGCGAGUAUCUCCCGGAGCUUCUCGCGGAGAAGGACAGUAUGGAUGUCUCGUUUACGCACGCUAUGAAACUUUUAUCUACAGAAAUCGAGAGAAUCCAGAAAGGUGAACCCAAGAAGGAAGGAGGAGACGCGUAUUUGGACCUUUUCACCGUCAAGAAUAUCAAACUGAAGGAACGCGUGCUCAUACCCGUCAAACAGUAUCCGAGGUUCAACUUUGUGGGGAAGAUUCUUGGCCCUCAGGGCAACACAAUCAAACGCCUUCAGGAAGAGACUGGGGCCAAGAUCUCUGUACUUGGCAAAGGCUCCAUGAGGGACAAAGCCAAGGAGGAGGGUCUGAGGAAAGGUGGCGAGGCCAAGUACGCACACCUGUCCAUGGAGCUGCAUGUCUUCAUCGAGGUGUUUGCCCCCGUGCCCGAGGCUUACCUACGUAUGGCACACGCCAUGGAGGAAGUCAAGAAGUUCCUGUUUCCUGAUAUGAUGGAUGACAUCUGUCAGGAACAGUUCAUGGAGAUGGGUUAUUUGAACGGGGGCCAGGAGCACGGGCCAGGGGUCCCACGAGGCAGAGGAGGACCACCGGGCCCAAGGAGCCGAGGAGGGCCUCCGGGACAACCAGGGGCACCCAGGGGUAGGGGUAGGGGUAUGCCCCAACGUGGAGGUACCACCAGGGGAGGUCCAGCCAGAGGCGGUGUAGCGAGGGGGGCACCAGCAGGAAGAGGAACCCCUGCCAGAGGGGCAACAGCACCCCGAGCCAGACUCACUGCCCCUGGUGGGCCUCCAAGAACCCUUCCUCCCCCCCACCAACACGCCCCAGCACCGGAACAAUAUGAGGAAUAUGCCUAUGAUGAGAGCUACACUGAGCCAGCGUACGAGUCAUACGACAGCUACUACAGUCAGCCACAGGCAGAGCCAGAGUACUACGACUACGGACACGGAGAAACACAGGAAGCAUACGAACCCUAUGCCCAGGACGACUGGAACGGGACCCAGAGAGGGGCGCCGGGGGGUAAGGCCCCUACUGCCAGAGCGACUAAGGGCCCUUACCGAGAACACCCCUAUAGACAAUACUGAACUCAUCACCGUACCAACGCCUAGCGACCAACGCUACCACCGUUAACGCGUUGCCCCGACAACCAACCAUCAACCUGUCUACCACGGCAGCUCUUGCUCUAAAGCAACCCUCGACAAAAGUCCAGCUAUUAGUCAGUGAAGAACCAAUCAGAGGUCGGCUUACUGGAGAGAUGAAACCAUGCGUACCUCAGUGAGGUGGUGUAGCAAGGUCCUACAGGACCGAGUCCUGUUAGGCUUCACAGUGAAGGGCCGGCCCAGUGGAGAGCACCAAUCCUGGGGGGAGGGCAGGCUGCCAAGACGACCAGAGAACAGAACCAGCCUACUAGGGAGCGAGAAGAGUGCCUUGGCACCGGUGGAAAAAGAGGGGUGGAUUCUAGCUACAGGCUCUGCAUGAGGGGGGAAAUAGUCUGGCUCAAAUGAUAGGAAUGUGGACUAUGACACUGGCCGUGAGACUAUGACACUGGCCGUGAGACUAUGACGCUGGCCGUGAGACUAUGACACUGGCCGUGAGACUAUGACACUGGCCGUGAGACUAAGACACUGGCCGUGAGACUAUGACACUGGCCGUGAGACUAUGACACUGGCCGUGAGACUAUGACACUGGCCGUGAGACUAUGACACUGGCCGUGAGACUAUGACACUGGCCGUGAGACUAUGACACUGGCCGUGUGACCAUGACACUAGCCGUGAGACCAUGACACUAGCCGUGAGACCAUGACACUAGCCGUGAGACUAUUGACACUAGCCGUGAGACCAUUUACACUAGCCGUGAGACCAUUUACACUAGCCGUGAGACCAUUGACACUAGCCGUGAGACUAUGACACUAGUCGUGACACUAGCCGUGAGACCAUGACACUAGCCGUGAGACUAUUGACACUAGUCGUGACACUAGCCGUGAGACUAUGACACUAUGAGACUAUGACACUAUGAAACUAUGACACUAGUCGUGACACUAUGACACUAGCUGUGACACGUGAGACUAUGACACUAUGAGACUAUGACACUAUGACACUAGCCGUGACACUAUGACACUAGCUGUGAGACUGUGACACUAGCCGUGAGACUGUGACACUAGCCGUGAGACUGUGACACUAGCCGUGAGACUAUGACACUAGCCGUGAGACUGUGACACUAGCCGUGAGACUGUGACACUAGCCGUGAGACUUGACACUAUGAGACUAUGACACUAUGAGACUGACUAGUCGUGACACUAUGACACUAGUCGUGACACUAUGACACUAGCUGUGACACUAGCUUUGAGACUAUGACACUAUGAGACUAUGACACUAUGAGACUAUGACUAGUCGUGACACUAUGACACUAGUCGUGACACUAUGACACUAGCUGUGACACUAGCCGUGAGACUGACACUAGCCGUGAGACUGUGACACUGGCCGUGAGACUAUGACACUGGCCGUGAGACAUGACACUGGCCGUGAGACCAUGACACUAGCCGUGAGACCAUGACACUAGCCGUGAGACCAUGACACUAGCCGUGAGACCAUGACACUAGCCAUGAGACCAUGACACUAGCCGUGAGACCAUGACACUAGCCGUGAGACCAUGACACUAGCCGUGAGACCAUGACACUAGCCGUGAGACUAUGACACUAUGAAACUAUGACACUAGCCGUGACACUGUGACACUAGCCGUGAGACUGUGACACUAGCCGUGAGACUUGACACUAGCCGUGAGACUGUGACACUAUGAGACUAUGACACUAGCCGUGACACUAUGACACUAGCUGUGACACUAGCCGUGAGACUAUGACACUAUGAGACUAUGACACUAGUCGUGACACUAUGACACUAGCUGUGACACUAGCCGUGACACUAGCCGUGAGACUAUGACACUAUGAGACUAUGACACUAUGAAACUAUGACACUAGCCGUGAGACUGACACUAGCCGUGAGACUGACACUAGCCGUGAGACUGUGAGACUAGCUGUGAGACUGUGCUAGAAGGCUUUCUAUUUGAGGUCUGUCUGUGUGUUUAACUGUGGCGUUGUCAUAUUGCGCUGCUUUAUGUAUUGUAUAUAACUUGUUUUGCUUUUCUAAUGUGAACCAACAAACGUUCGGUUCACGUAAGUGAAUCUAUAUUGUUAUGAAAAUACCCACCCAGGCCGUAAGGAGCUGUGAAAUUGUAAUGUCUUAUGGGUUGUUUUGUGGGUUUUUUUGUUGAGGGGUUGAGCACAUUUGUACUCUCUGCAAGGCAAACUCUGUUUCUUAUCACCCUCAUAGACAUACAUUGGUUAAUGCAGUCUACAGUAUGUUCAUUAUACUCUUUAACAAAUACAACCUGUGUCCAUG